This 222-nucleotide long non-coding RNA is filed under the name Elaeis guineensis (African oil palm). RNAcentral describes it as "long non-coding RNA (EGUI_LNC031832)". The record is from RNAcentral. Lineage: Eukaryota; Viridiplantae; Streptophyta; Magnoliopsida; Arecales; Arecaceae.
GGGCUGAAAAGUUGGCUUGAGGAACCCUUUCUCUUUUGAAUGCUCUUGAAUGCUCUCUUAAAUGCUCUUCAAAUCUUUUUCUUUCUCUUCUUAAUCUCUUUCAAUCUCUUGUAUAUUUCCCACCUUUUGAAUCCUUUUAUAGCUAUAAGAAAUAGAGAAAAAUAUUCUAGGCAGAAAAAGAGCCGUUAGAGCACAUUAAAUGAGCAUUAAAAGCACUUAAAA